UGGGUUGUAGCUCAGUGGUAGAGCCCUUGCCUAGCAUGUGUGAGGCACUGGGUUUGAUCCCCAGCACCACAU
This 72-nucleotide transfer RNA is filed under the name Marmota marmota marmota (Alpine marmot). It matches the Rfam family "tRNA". Rfam says of the family: Transfer RNA (tRNA) molecules are approximately 80 nucleotides in length. Their secondary structure includes four short double-helical elements and three loops (D, anti-codon, and T loops). Lineage: Eukaryota; Metazoa; Chordata; Mammalia; Rodentia; Sciuridae. RNAcentral also lists the same sequence under 1 other name. The record is from Rfam by way of RNAcentral.